CGGAGGGUGCAAGCGUUAUCCGGAUUCACUGGGUUUAAGGGGGCGCAGGCGGGACUGUAAGUCAGUGGUGAAAUACCUGAGCUUAACUCGGGAACUGCCAUUGAUACUAUAGUCCUUGAAUGACGUUGAGGUUUGCGGAAUGGGUCAUGUAGCGGUGAAAUGCAUAGAUAUGACCCGGAACACCGAUUGCGAAGGCAGCAGGCUAAACGUAAAUUGACGCUGAGGCCCGAAAGCGUGGGGAUCAAACAGGAUUAGAUACCCUGGUAGUCCACGCCCUAAACUAUGAUUACUCGACAUUUGUGAUACACAAUAAGUGUCUGAGCGAAAGCAUUAAGUAAUCCACCUGGGAAGUACGUCCGCAAGGAUG
Molecule: ribosomal RNA, 367 nt
Filed under: uncultured organism
Description: bacterial SSU rRNA
Rfam family: Bacterial small subunit ribosomal RNA
Source: RNAcentral